This is a long non-coding RNA of Balaenoptera musculus (blue whale), 408 nucleotides long. RefSeq lists it as uncharacterized. The record is from RefSeq and is a predicted model, not a curated record. The transcript is spliced from 3 exons. Lineage: Eukaryota; Metazoa; Chordata; Mammalia; Artiodactyla; Balaenopteridae.
AUAAUUUCCUGAGCAUCUUGAUGUUCCAGCACCAGCCCAGGUGCCAAGUAGAGGGUGAUGAUCUACACAAACAUGGUCCCUGCCCUCAGAGGUUGAGAACCUAGUAGACAACAGCUUGGCUUCUGAAACACUUCCCACCUCCAUCACAAGAUCCCAGGAACCUCUCCCACCAAAGACAAUGACUUUCACGUUGUGAACACAGACAAAGUCAAGAUGCAGUACUUGUAAUCAACAGUAAUCUCCUCUCCAGAAUGCCAUAUUUGCUCAGAAUGCCCACCAACAUGGAGAGAUGUGAUGGUUCACAAAAAGGACACGAGAGUGAAUGAUUUAUCUGGCAGCCAAGAACACAAACUCAGGCCUAAUCUCUAUUGCUUAGAUGUAGAACAGGGCAAUCAGGCAGAAGGCUCA